GUAUUUGUCCUACCAACCGAACGUCACUUCGGGCAUGUUCGGUAGUCCUAAAAAUUCCUGUUUCAGGAAUUUUGUCCUGGCUAACGUACUAAAUCUGUCAACGUCGCAUACUUUUCAAUCUUGUUUUGUUUUGGAAUUUGACAAGAUUAACCUCAGAAAAAGUUUAAAAUUAUAAUUUUUAUGAACAUUGACGAAUAAUGUUAUGAAUAAUGUAAUAGAACCUGAUAUAAAAUAAUCCGGAAAUAUUUACAAAUAAAGCAUAAACAAAAUGAAAGUGAUAGCAACACGAUUACCUUUGAUAAUGUGUUUUUUAUAUAAGAAUACGUCUACAUGGGUUGAAAUCUCAGAAAAUAUUAAGCUAUCCACAAAUUCCUGAAAAUAAAUUAGCCGUGAUUUGCGGAAAAAAUGUUCUUAAUUAUUUUUCCCACAUGAUGUCCUUUCAGGUUCCAGGAAACAGCACGGGCAUGUAUUAGGCAUAAUAAGUAAUUAUAAAAAUAUGAGCAAAAAUGAGAUGGUUUAAAAGAGUGAAAAUUUUAAGGUUAAGAAAUCUGAAACUCAAAGGAAAACUGAUUAAAAACUGAUAAAUAAGUACCGUUAAACUGGAAAAGCAAACUACUAUACGCAUAAUACAAAAGACAAUUUAUCAUCUUUAAAACCAUAAGGCAUAUGAUAUAUGAGAUAGCACAAGGACAUAUCGGCAAGCCUUAGGUUGGUGUUUACGCGUGUAGGUGUGAAUCGCUAUGGUGAUCUGGUCGGAGAUAGAAAAAUAUAAAAUAUUUAUUACAUAACCACACUUAAUCUGAUGAUUUCCUAUGCAUUCAAUACCAAGUUCAAUACAUCUGAUUGUAAUAAGCAUAUUGGCCAUACUCUUCAUAUACAU
This 880-nucleotide long non-coding RNA is filed under the name Sitophilus oryzae (rice weevil). Its description in RNAcentral is "uncharacterized LOC115882332, transcript variant X2". Lineage: Eukaryota; Metazoa; Arthropoda; Insecta; Coleoptera; Curculionidae. The record is from RNAcentral.